GGCGUAGUCGAUGGGAAACGGGUUAAUAUUCCCGUACUUGGUGUUACUGCGAAGGGGGGACGGAGAAGGCUAUGUUGGCCGGGCGACGGUUGUCCCGGUUUAAGCGUGUAGGCUGGUUUUCCAGGCAAAUCCGGAAAAUCAAGGCUGAGGCGUGAUGACGAGGCACUACGGUGCUGAAGCAACAAAUGCCCUGCUUCCAGGAAAAGCCUCUAAGCAUCAGGUAACAUCAAAUCGUACCCCAAACCGACACAGGUGGUCAGGUAGAGAAUACCAAGGCGCUUGAGAGAACUCGGGUGAAGGAACUAGGCAAAAUGGUGCCGUAACUUCGGGAGAAGGCACGCUGACACGUAGGUGAAGUGAUUUACUCAUGGAGCUGAAGUCAGUCGAAGAUACCAGCUGGCUGCAACUGUUUAUUAAAAACACAGCACUGUGCAAACACGAAAGUGGACGUAUACGGUGUGACGCCUGCCCGGUGCCGGAAGGUUAAUUGAUGGGGUCAGCGCAAGCGAAGCUCCUGAUCGAAGCCCCGGUAAACGGCGGCCGUAACUAUAACGGUCCUAAGGUAGCGAAAUUCCUUGUCGGGUAAGUUCCGACCUGCACGAAUGGCGUAAUGAUGGCCAGGCUGUCUCCACCCGAGACUCAGUGAAAUUGAACUCGCUGUGAAGAUGCAGUGUACCCGCGGCAAGACGGAAAGACCCCGUGAACCUUUACUAUAGCUUGACACUGAACAUUGAGCCUUGAUGUGUAGGAUAGGUGGGAGGCUUUGAAGUGUGGACGCCAGUCUGCAUGGAGCCGACCUUGAAAUACCACCCUUUAAUGUUUGAUGUUCUAACGUGGACCCGUUACCCGGGUUGCGGACAGUGUCUGGUGGGUAGUUUGACUGGGGCGGUCUCCUCCUAAAGAGUAACGGAGGAGCACGAAGGUUGGCUAAUCCUGGUCGGACAUCAGGAGGUUAGUGCAAUGGCAUAAGCCAGCUUGACUGCGAGCGUGACGGCGCGAGCAGGUGCGAAAGCAGGUCAUAGUGAUCCGGUGGUUCUGAAUGGAAGGGCCAUCGCUCAACGGAUAAAAGGUACUCCGGGGAUAACAGGCUGAUACCGCCCAAGAGUUCAUAUCGACGGCGGUGUUUGGCACCUCGAUGUCGGCUCAUCACAUCCUGGGGCUGAAGUAGGUCCCAAGGGUAUGGCUGUUCGCCAUUUAAAGUGGUACGCGAGCUGGGUUUAGAACGUCGUGAGACAGUUCGGUCCCUAUCUGCCGUGGGCGCUGGAGAACUGAGGGGGGCUGCUCCUAGUACGAGAGGACCGGAGUGGACGCAUCACUGGUGUUCGGGUUGUCAUGCCAAUGGCACUGCCCGGUAGCUAAAUGCGGAAGAGAUAAGUGCUGAAAGCAUCUAAGCACGAAACUUGCCCCGAG
This 1410-nucleotide ribosomal RNA is filed under the name Salmonella enterica subsp. enterica serovar Enteritidis. RNAcentral describes it as "partial 23S ribosomal RNA". It matches the Rfam family "Bacterial large subunit ribosomal RNA", at positions 1408 to 2803 of the family's 2925-position model. The record is from RNAcentral. Lineage: Bacteria; Pseudomonadati; Pseudomonadota; Gammaproteobacteria; Enterobacterales; Enterobacteriaceae.